This 731-nucleotide unclassified non-coding RNA is filed under the name Bombus terrestris (buff-tailed bumblebee). RNAcentral describes it as "misc RNA ENSBTSG00005029204.1". Lineage: Eukaryota; Metazoa; Arthropoda; Insecta; Hymenoptera; Apidae. The record is from RNAcentral.
UUUCCUCGGGCAAACACAUAGAUCAGCGCGUGUCUCGAGAGGAGUUGUCCGGUGUGUAAAAUACGCGCUCGACCGAUGAAAAGCGUGUUAAAGCGGCGGGGCGGGGAGAGCACGCUUGUAAUUCACUUUGCCGAGAGUCUGAUCUGGCAGCGAGGGCACGUUCUUUUCCACUAGGCUAGGACAGUUCGCGUGCCUGACCGAAACGUCGAUGAAUAGUUAAUCAAACUCGACGAUUUUCGGCAGAUUCUUCGCUUACAUAACAUUCUUUGAUACUACUAUAUUUUCUUUUUUUUUCUGUUCUAGACAGACGAGGUUCGAUUCGAUCCAUCCGAUUCUAUUCGCGGAUCGAAGCUCGCGUGAUUCUCGCAAAUUCAAAGAAAUUCGAAGGCUCUUUCUGCGGUUGAGAAGCGGAAUCGCCUAUCGUUUGAGUCUUUUCUUUUUUUAAUUUUAUUUUCGCUGAAAAAUUAGAACGAACGAUUCGUUUCACGAUUCAUCGUUUUGAAUCGUAAUAUAACGUUAUCUACCUGGUUUUCACUUGAGAAUUAACAUCCGAUAAGUUGCUAAUUGCGUGCAUGAUCAAUAGGAAAGUCAUUUAUAGUUGCUUUUGCACUAUGUAAUUAGCUGUUAUACACAAGUAGGUAAGACUAAACGUACUGCACGAUAAGUAUAAUUUACCGUUAAUUCUGUCAUAUUCCAAAGCGUAAAUAAUUUUAAUCGGAAGAAGAAUUCGU